This 501-nucleotide ribosomal RNA is filed under the name uncultured bacterium. RNAcentral's name for it is "partial 16S ribosomal RNA". It matches the Rfam family "Bacterial small subunit ribosomal RNA", at positions 30 to 523 of the family's 1533-position model. The record is from RNAcentral.
AUUGAACGCUGGCGGCAGGCUUAACACAUGCAAGUCGAGCGGAGAUGAGGUGCUUGCACCUUAUCUUAGCGGCGGACGGGUGAGUAAUGCUUAGGAAUCUGCCUAUUAGUGGGGGACAACAUUCCGAAAGGAAUGCUAAUACCGCAUACGUCCUACGGGAGAAAGCAGGGGAUCUUCGGACCUUGCGCUAAUAGAUGAGCCUAAGUCGGAUUAGCUAGUUGGUGGGGUAAAGGCCUACCAAGGCGACGAUCUGUAGCGGGUCUGAGAGGAUGAUCCGCCACACUGGGACUGAGACACGGGCCAGACGCCUACGGGAGGCAGCAGUGGGGAAUAUUGGAGAAUGGGGGGAACCCUGAUCCAGCCAUGCCGCGUGUGUGAAGAAGGCCUUAUGGUUGUAAAGCACUUUAAGCGAGGAGGAGGCUCUUUUGGUUAAUACCCAAGAUGAGUGGACGUUACUCGCAGAAUAAGCACCGGCUAACUCUGUGCCAGCCGCCGCGGUAA